CCUCUCUUUCUUGUAGCCAAAGCUGAGCAAUGUGGUAGUCAAGCUAAUGGAGCUCUUUGCCCAAAUGGGCUAUGUUGCAGCAAAUUUGGUUUUUGUGGCAACACUGAUCAAUAUUGUGGAGAUGGUUGUCAGAGCCAAUGUAAAUCUUCUCCGACACCGAACCCACCAACACCUAGUACAGGUGGUGGUGGAGAUGUUGGAAGUAUUAUUCCAUCAUCUUUGUUUGAUCAAAUGCUUAAAUAUCGAAAUGAUCAACGUUGUGCUGGUCAUGGAUUUUAUACCUACGAUGGUUUCAUCGCUGCAGCUAGAUCUUUUAAUGGAUUUGGUACCACUGGUGAUGAUGCCACCCGUAAGAAGGAACUUGCUGCUUUUUUGGCUCAAACUUCUCAUGAAACCACCGGUAUAUUUGUUAUUCUAUUUUCGUAUUUAGAUAAUUGGAUAUAUUUAAUUAUAUGGAGAGAAAGGAAAAAUUGAUUCAUAUUUAAAUAAUAUAUAUAUUAACGUUAAAUUAAAUAAGUAAUAUAAUUAUCUUAAUACACCAACAAACUAUAAUACCAAUGAGUUUAAUGGUCUUUUUAAUUAAAUAGACUUCAAGUCUUAGUAUUCUCUAUUUUUUCCAAAUCUAACCUAAACUUCACAUAGACUAUAUCGUAUUCCCUGUUAGUCGAGCUUGGUCUAUUCUUACUACAUUGUGAAGAUAAUAAGCCAACUAUUUUAUCUAAUUGAAUUAGAUAAUUUAAUCCCUUUGUUUUUAAUAAAAUAUUAAGAAAAUAAUUUCUUUUUUGCUAAUAGAAAUAUAGGGUAAAGAGAUGGACUAGGGUCCUAGACAAUGAAGAUUUUAUAUGAUUGAAAGAAUAUACCUCCCUUCAAAAGGUAGCAAGGGCUCGAACCCGGAAUACUUUGAGUCCGGAACAUACAUGUCUUUUUACUAUUGGAUCAAACUUAUGAAGUAUGUUAAACAUCAUAAGUGAUAUAAGAUCUCUUUUAAACUAAAAUAGUCUCCUAAGAUAUUUAAUGAAUUUUGAAUGCCGUACAGAUUUAUAAAUACAGUUUUUUUAGGGUGAUCUAUAUAUAAAUAGAGUUAUUCUCUUGAUCUCUCUUUUUUACAGGGGUAUUCUCUUGAUCUCUUAUCAUUAGAAAUUUUACAUGAUUUUUUUAUUUUCAAAAUUAAUUUAUGAUAACGUAAUGAGUUAGAUUUUCGUUAUUAAUGUGCGAGAUCGUACGUUGAACUGAUUUCCAUGAAACCACACGUUUGUUGGUAAGUGUCGGUAUAGAUAAUCAGAUAUAUUUACAUGUCAUAUUCAUACAUUUAAAUUCAUGAAAAAAGUCACGAUUAAUCUUGUUUGUGUGGCAAAACCAUAGAGGAUAAAAUUAACUGAUGUUUAUGAACAUGCAGGAGGGUGGCCAAGUGCACCAGACGGACCAUAUGCGUGGGGAUAUUGCUUUGUCACCGAAAAGGAUGCCCAAGGAGACUUUUGUUCACCCGGAGAUUGGCCAUGUGCUCCUGGUAAAAGAUACUAUGGCAGAGGACCUAUUCAACUCACUCAGUAAGUUUCUUUCACCUAGCAUUUUAAACAACCCCAUCUAAAUCUCUAAUGACAUAAAAGAGAAAGUUUAGAGGAAUGAUAAUUGUGCAAUUAUUUUUUGACAAUUUUUGUGUCAAUAUUUUUUUCUCUUUUCUUAUCCGACAAAAACAAUAGAGCAAGAAAAAAAAAAGAGUGAGACUACAAUGAGAAAGAGUUAUUAAAAAAUUAUUAAAAAUAUCGUUUCACAAAGAUUUACUUAUUCAUCGUCGACCCAACCCACACAUCUUCUUUCUUUUGAUUUCUCCUCUCACUCUAUGUUUUGUGACUUAGAUGGUGGAUGGGGUGUUUAAAUGUCAUCACCUGAUACAAAACAUGGAGAGAGACAUAGGAGAAAUUAAGAGAGAGAAGAAGAGUGGAUUGAACGGAUGGGGUGUCCAACAAAAAAAAAAAUCUCUUAAUUAAUUAGAUCGAUGACAUCCUUUUAAGCAUUAUUAUCAAUUACAUGUAAGUCCUGUCUAGUUACUCCCUCUGUCAUUAUUUAUAAGAACAUCCAACAAAAAUCACAGGAAUUAAGGAAAGUUGUAGGAGCAAUAAAUUUGUCUGAAAUAUGUGAGUAUUACAACAUGAGUUAUGUUACCUUUAUGACAUAUGUUAAGGAUUUCAUCAAUUGUAAAUAUUUAUUUUAAAGCAUUAAUUUUCAAUAUCUAAAAGGAUAAAUUGACACAAUUUCUUAAAUAAAAUUUCUACAUUAGGUUCCUUAACAUGUGCCCUAAGAACACAAGUUAAAAUUUCCUUUAGGACUAUUUUUUAUGCUGGAGUGUAUUGUGACUAUAUUUAACUUAUAAUUUUGGUGUACUACAUGACUGUUUUUAAGUGCUUUAGUGGACUAAUGCAACGUUGACCCUUGUUCACAGCAAUUACAAUUACGGUCAAGCGGGUAAAGCUAUUAAUGAAGAUUUGAUAAACAAUCCGGAUCUAGUCUCCACAAACCCAACUGUAUCAUUCAAGACAGCUAUAUGGUUUUGGAUGACCCCUCAAGCAAACAAGCCAUCAAGCCAUGAUGUGAUUACCGGAAGAUGGACGCCAUCUGCUGCUGACAGCUCAGCAGGGCGGGUCCCCGGAUACGGCGUGAUCACCAACAUAAUCAACGGCGGGCUCGAAUGCGGGCACGGUCAGGAUCCUAAAGUCGAGGAUCGGGUCGGAUUUUAUAGAAGGUAUUGUCAAAUAUUGGGAGUGAACCCCGGCAAUAACUUGGAUUGUAACAACCAAAGGCCAUUUGCCUAAGCGAAGUACCUAUGUUAAUGUUGUAAUAUAAAGUAUAAUAAAGGGAUCACAAUGAAUGAUCCUAUAUGUAACUGGAAUCUUCUUGCUAAAUAAAACGGCUUCAAUAUAGUUCAAAUAAAAUAAUUUAGUAUUUUUAUCAUCAUUUAUGACUAAAAAGCUAGAUGUAUAGGCUAUGAUGAUAUGUGGUACGAAUGCAGGUACGAUACGAUAUGGGCACGUUCAUAUGCAAAAUUUUGAAAAUUUAGGAGAUGAUACGACUAAAAUACGUUAAUAAAAUUUGUAUACUAAAACUUAUAUGCAUGUAAAAUACUUGAAGAAAAUAAGCAUUGAUUAAUCUUUAUGAUUAUAUUAUUAUAAAAGUCAACAACUUUUUAAAAAUAAUAUAUAUAUAUAUAUAUAUAUAUAUAUAUAUAUAUAUAUAUAUAUAUAUAUAUAUAUAUAUAUGAUCGAAAUAAAAAAAUGUAAAGUUUUCAUAUAAAUCAUAUUAUAUUUUCAUUCAUAUGUUAAGAUAUCCACAGAAACAUCAUUAAAAGAACUCAACACAAAUUUUGUCUAAUCUUGAUUAUUUGAAUCUCAUCUCUCUUGUUACCCCUCAUCCAUAAGAAAUAUAUAUAAUUUUAAGUGGUUCAUCAAAAAACAAUUCUAUUAAUACAUAUCUAAUAAUUGAAUCAUAUACAUCUGCGCUGAAUUUUUACAAUAUUGUCUCACUCUUUUAUCCUCCAUCUUUUCUAGGUUAUGUAUAUCUAAAUUAUCUUAUAAGCAACAUUGUGUAUAUGUUUUCAACCCUAUAAGUAUUUAAUAAAAUAUUUUUUAAUAUUAAAAUAAUUAAUUCAAAUACUUCAUAGGUACGUAAUCUGCGAGUACCCGAAGAUAUCAAUAUUCUAUACGGGUACGUCUUCCUCUCUUGACCCCCUCACACAGAUGUGACAUGUGUUCAAGUGCCCUCCACGCACAUAGUGAACAACUUUGUCUCUCACCCUCUUAUCUCUUCUCUCUCUUCCUUCACCCAUUCUCCCUCACCGACCACCAUCUAAUUCGAUCAAAAAAAAAUUUUGAUUUGCCUUGAAUUGGUUUUCGGUUUUCAUUAUUGUACUUUUUUCCUUUCAUUUUUUAAGAAAAUAUAUUAUUCUAUGACAUUUCAUAAAAAAGUAAAGUUACAAAGAAGAUGAAUAAGUAUAAAAUAAAAACAAUAAAGAAUCAUAAAUUAAUAAUAUUUCUUAAAAGAAGGAAAAAAUCAAUACUUUUAAAGAACAAGUCUAGAAAAUAGUUACAUAAUCGUAAAUAAAGAAAUAUUUAUAAAAAAUUCAUACAAUAAUAUAUAUAGAAGUAUAAAUAUUUCGGUUUGGAUUGGAUUAGAUCGGUUUAUAUACUAUGUGAGCUGAAAACCAAUCCAAUCCAUUUAAAAUUGUGGAUUUUUUUACGGUUUUUCAGUUUUCGGUUUUGUUUGAUUUUUUAUUUUUUGGUUCGGUUACUGCGGUUUACAUUGAAUUGGAUUGGACAUGAAUACCUACAUCCACAAGAUAGGGCAAUACUAUAUCAUCUCUAAUUUUUAGAAAAUAUAUUAGAUACCGUUUCAACAAAAUUCUAGAAUAUUGUAAUGCUUAACCAGUUUUUAUCCUAUGGAAGCAUAUUUUAUGUUCACCACAUUAGUUGGCAUAAAAGUCGUGGUUUGAAUUCAUCAAAGUCUUCAACACCACGGCAAGGACAAUAAGGACAAAUAACUAAAUGAUAUAUAUAUAUGUAUGUAUUUUUUUUUUGAAGGAAUAUGUAUGUAUGUAUAUUUAUAAAAUAAUAAUAAUAUGUAAAGACUUGACCAGAAAAAAAAAAUGUAAAUGAAUUUUAUUUGAGAUUAUGACUAUAUAAAUAUUUCUCGCUUAUGAUUGUAAGUAGUUUAGAUUCUUGAGGUGUUAGAAAUAUUUCUCGUAUAGUCACACUUAGUAGGUUUUUUGACACUUCUAGUGCGCAGAAAAUUUGGACACCAUAAGUCUAGUGCGCAGAAAGCAGCCAAUUUUGAAAAUAAGACAUAAAAAAUAAUUAAUCCCAAUAAUGCUCAUCUAUAAAUAGACAUCUUUCUUAAUUCAUCAUGCACACACCAAACUGAAUUAACACUCUUCACUAAUGGCAAGUACAAAAUUAUCUUGCUUGAUACUAUGUUUGCUACCUCUCUUUCUUGGAUCAAAAGCAGAACAAUGUGGUAGUCAAGCUAAUAGAGCUGUUUGUCCAAAUGGGCUAUGUUGUAGCAAAUUUGGUUGGUGUGGCACCACUGAUCAAUAUUGUGGAGCUGGUUGUCAGAGCCAGUGUAGAUCUUCUUCAACACCGACACCAUCGACACCAACACCUGGUACCGGUGGUGGUGGAGAUGUUGGAAGGCUUGUGCCUUCUUUUCUGUUUGAUCAAAUGCUUAAAUAUCGAAAUGAUGCACGAUGCCCUGGGCAUGGAUUUUAUACCUACGAUGGUUUCAUUGCCGCGACUAGAUCUUUUAAUGGAUUUGGUACUACUGGUGAUGAUACCACCCGUAAGAGGGAGCUCGCUGCUUUCUUGGCUCAAACUUCUCAUGAAACCACCGGUAUAUAUAUAUAUUCCUCGUCUAUUUUUUGUUUAGAUAAUUGGUUAUGUCAACUUUGUAUAGAGUAUACUUAAUUUUGAAUUUUGUACACUUGAGAGACAAUAUUGAGGCUGACCAGACCAAAUAUUUCAAGGUUUAACCAUGACUAUAUAUCUUUAAUUUAUCA
This 5542-nucleotide long non-coding RNA is filed under the name Medicago truncatula (barrel medic). Its description in RNAcentral is "long non-coding RNA (MTRU_LNC006442)". The record is from RNAcentral. Lineage: Eukaryota; Viridiplantae; Streptophyta; Magnoliopsida; Fabales; Fabaceae.